Molecule: ribosomal RNA, 514 nt
Filed under: uncultured bacterium
Lineage: Bacteria
Description: bacterial SSU rRNA
Rfam family: Bacterial small subunit ribosomal RNA
Source: RNAcentral
CAAAGUCACUUUCCCUUCGGGGCAUUGGAGACAGGUGGUGCAUGGUUGUCGUCAGCUCGUGUCGUGAGAUGUUGGGUUAAGUCCCGCAACGAGCGCAACCCCUAUUUCCAGUAGCCAGCAAGAAAGAUGGGAACUCUGGAGAGACUGCCCGGGAUAACUGGGAGGAAGGCGGGGAUGACGUCAAAUCAUCAUGCCCCUUAUGAUCAGGGCUACACACGUGCUACAAUGGCGUAAACAAAGGGAAGCGAAGUGGUGACACGAAGCAAAUCCGAAAAAUAACGUCUCAGUUCGGAUUGUAGUCUGCAACUCGACUACAUGAAGCUGGAAUCGCUAGUAAUCGCGAAUCAGAAUGUCGCGGUGAAUACGUUCCCGGGUCUUGUACACACCGCCCGUCACACCAUGGGAGUCGGAAAUGCCCGAAGUCAGUGACCCAACCGAGAGGAGGGAGCUGCCGAAGGUGGAGCCGGUAACUGGGGUGAAGUCGUAACAAGGUAGCCGUAUCGGAAGGUGCGGC